Molecule: ribosomal RNA, 367 nt
Filed under: uncultured bacterium
Lineage: Bacteria
Description: bacterial SSU rRNA
Rfam family: Bacterial small subunit ribosomal RNA
Source: RNAcentral
GGAGGGUGCAAGCGUUAUCCGGAUUCACUGGGUUUAAAGGGUGCGUAGGUGGUUUUGUAAGUCAGUGGUGAAAGCCCGGAGCUCAACUCCGGAACUGCCAUUGAUACUGCUUAACUUGAAUCAAGUAGAGGUGGAUGGAAUAAUACAUGUAGCGGUGAAAUGCUUAGAUAUGUAUUAGAACACCGAUUGCGAAGGCAGUUCACUAUGCUUGUAUUGACACUGAGGCACGAAAGCGUGGGGAUCAAACAGGAUUAGAUACCCUGGUAGUCCACGCCCUAAACUAUGUAAACUCGACAUUAGCGAUAUACUGUUAGUGUCUAAGCKAAAGCKGUAAGUUUACCACCUGGGAAGUACGACCGCWAGGUUG